UCUCUUCCUUGUUUUACAAAAUGUCUCAAAUCACAAUAAAAUCUCCAAAACACUGUGCCACAAAACAAGUAAGAAUAGAGAGAAACUACAAGAAAAUCUUCUUUGCUUUCUCAACAUUUUUCACCACAAUCCUAUUGCUCAUACUUCUCAUCUAUUUCAUCCUUAAACCCUCCAAACCUCAAUUCUCCCUCCAAGAACUUGACAUCUAUCAACUAAACCUCUCAGGACCAAUCCUCAACUCCUCAAUCCAACUCACUCUUCUCUCCAAAAAUCCAAACCAAAAAGUUAGCAUUUACUACGACGAGUUUCAAGUUUAUGCAACUUACAAGAAUCAACAAAUAACUAGUGAUUCAUUUGUGC
RNAcentral lists this long non-coding RNA (360 nucleotides) under Medicago truncatula (barrel medic). RNAcentral describes it as "long non-coding RNA (MTRU_LNC001066)". The record is from RNAcentral. Lineage: Eukaryota; Viridiplantae; Streptophyta; Magnoliopsida; Fabales; Fabaceae.